ACUACGGGAGGCAGCAGUGAGGAAUAUUGGUCAAUGGGCGUAAGCCUGAUCCAGCCAAGUCGCGUGAGGGAUGAAGGUUCUCUGGAUCGUAAACCUCUUUUAUAAGGAAAUAAAGUGUAGGACGUGUCCUAUUUUGUAUGUACAUUAUGAAUAAAUAUCGUCUAACUACGGUCCAGCAGCCGCGGUAAUACGGAGGAUCCGGGCGUUAUCCGGAUGUAUUGUGUUGAAAGUGUGCGUAGGCGGCCUUUUAAGUCAGCGGUGAAAGUCUGUGGCUCAACCAUAGAAUUGCCGUUGAAACUGGGGGGCUUGAGUAUGUUUGAGGCAGGCGGAAUGCGUGGUGUAGCGGUGAAAUGCUUAGAUAUCACGCAGAACCCCGAUGGCGAAGGCAGCCUGCCAAGCCAUGACUGACGCUGAUGCACGAAAGCGUGGGGAUCAAACAGGAUUAGAUACCCUUGUAGUC
Molecule: ribosomal RNA, 460 nt
Filed under: uncultured bacterium
Lineage: Bacteria
Description: partial 16S ribosomal RNA
Rfam family: Bacterial small subunit ribosomal RNA
Source: RNAcentral